This 450-nucleotide ribosomal RNA is filed under the name uncultured bacterium. RNAcentral's name for it is "bacterial SSU rRNA". It matches the Rfam family "Bacterial small subunit ribosomal RNA", at positions 29 to 519 of the family's 1533-position model. The record is from RNAcentral.
AGCGAACGCUGGCGGCAUGCCUAACACAUGCAAGUCGAGCGCUCCCAGCAAUGGGGGAGCGGCGGACGGGUGAGUAACGCGUAGGAACGUAUCCUGAGGUGGGGGAUAACCCUGGGAAACUAGGGCUAAUACCGCAUGAUGGCGAGAGCCCAAAGAUUUAUCGCCUUGGGAGCGGCCUGCGUCUGAUUAGCUGGUUGUGGGGUAACGCCUACCAAGGCGAUGAUCAGUAGCUGGUCUGAGAGGAUGAUCAGCCACACUGGGACUGAGACACGGCCCAGACUCCUACGGAGGCAGCAGUGGGGAAUAUUGGACAAUGGGCGAAAGCCUGAUCCAGCAAUGCCGCGUGGAUGAAGAAGGUCUUCGGAUUGUAAAGUCCUUUCGGUCGGGGACGAAGGGUGACUGACGGUACCUGUAGAAGAAGCACCGGCUAACUACGUGCCAGCAGCCGCG